GUGCCAGCCGCCGCGGUAAUACGUAGGGUCCGAGCGUUGUCCGGAAUUAUUGGGCGUAAAGAGCUCGUAGGCGGCUUGUCGCGUCCGCUGUGAAAGUCCGGGGCUUAACUCCGGGUGGGCAGUGGAUACGGGCAGGCUUGAGGUAGGUAGGGGAGACUGGAAUUCCUGGUGUAGCGGUGAAAUGCGCAGAUAUCAGGAGGAACACCGGUGGCGAAGGCGGGUCUCUGGGCCUUACCUGACGCUGAGGAGCGAAAGCGUGGGGAGCGAACAGGAUUAGAUACCCUGGUAGUCCACGCCGUAAACGUUGGGCGCUAGGUGUGGGGACUUUCCACGGUCUCCGCGCCGUAGCUAACGCAUUAAGCGCCCCGCCUGGGGAGUACGGCCGCAAGGCUAAA
Molecule: ribosomal RNA, 395 nt
Filed under: uncultured bacterium
Lineage: Bacteria
Description: bacterial SSU rRNA
Rfam family: Bacterial small subunit ribosomal RNA
Source: RNAcentral